CGGCGGACGGGUGAGUAACACGUGGGUAACCUACCUAUAAGACUGGGACAACUUCGGGAAACCGGAGCUAAUACCGGAUAAGAUAUCGAACCGCAUGGUUCGAUAGUGAAAGAUGGUUUUGCUAUCACUUAUAGAUGGACCCGCGCCGUAUUAGCUAGUUGGUGAGGUAACGGCUCACCAAGGCAACGAUACGUAGCCACCUGAGAGGGUGAUCGGCCACACUGGAACUGAGACACGGUCCAGACUCCUACGGGAGGCAGCAGC
This 264-nucleotide ribosomal RNA is filed under the name uncultured Staphylococcus sp. RNAcentral's name for it is "partial 16S ribosomal RNA". It matches the Rfam family "Bacterial small subunit ribosomal RNA", at positions 96 to 355 of the family's 1533-position model. Lineage: Bacteria; Bacillati; Bacillota; Bacilli; Caryophanales; Staphylococcaceae. The record is from RNAcentral.